This 548-nucleotide ribosomal RNA is filed under the name uncultured bacterium. RNAcentral's name for it is "bacterial SSU rRNA". It matches the Rfam family "Bacterial small subunit ribosomal RNA", at positions 358 to 916 of the family's 1533-position model. The record is from RNAcentral.
GGAAUAUUGGGCAAUGGAGGAAACUCUGACCCAGCGACGCCGCGUGCGGGAUGAAGGCCUUCGGGUUGUAAACCGCUUUCAGUAGGGAAGAAGCGAAAGUGACGGUACCUACAGAAGAAGCACCGGCUAACUAUGUGCCAGCAGCCGCGGUAAUACAUAGGGUGCAAGCGUUGUCCGGAAUUAUUGGGCGUAAAGAGCUCGUAGGUGGUUUGAUACGUCGGGUGUGAAAUUCAGGGGCUCAACCCCUGACCUGCAUUCGAUACGGUCAAGCUAGAGUUUGGUAGGGGAGACUGGAAUUCCUGGUGUAGCGGUGGAAUGCGCAGAUAUCAGGAGGAACACCGAUGGCGAAGGCAGGUCUCUGGGCCAAUACUGACACUGAGGAGCGAAAGCGUGGGGAGCGAACAGGAUUAGAUACCCUGGUAGUCCACGCCGUAAACGGUGGGCGCUAGGUGUGGGGGACAUUCCACGUUCUCUGCGCCGCAGCUAACGCAUUAAGCGUCCCGCCUGGGGAGUACGACCGCAAGGUUAAAACUCAAAUGAAUUGACGG